Molecule: ribosomal RNA, 425 nt
Filed under: uncultured bacterium
Lineage: Bacteria
Description: partial 16S ribosomal RNA
Rfam family: Bacterial small subunit ribosomal RNA
Source: RNAcentral
GUGGGGAAUAUUGGACAAUGGGCGCAAGCCUGAUCCAGCCAUGCCGCGUGAGUGAUGAAGGCCUUAGGGUUGUAAAGCUCUUUUGUCCGGGAAGAUAAUGACUGUACCGGAAGAAUAAGCCCCGGCUAACUUCGUGCCAGCAGCCGCGGUAAUACGAAGGGGGCUAGCGUUGGUCGGAAUCACUGGGCGGAAAGCGCACGUAGGCGGACCAUUAAGUAAGGGGUGAAAGCCUGGAGUUCAACUCCAGAACUGCCUUUGAUACUGAUGGUCUCGAGUAUGGAAGAGGUUGGUGGAACUGCGAGUGUAGAGGUGAAAUUCGUAGAUAUUCGCAAGAACACCGGUGGCGAAGGCGGCCAACUGGUCCAUUACUGACGCUGAGGUGCGAAAGCGUGGGGAGCAAACAGGAUUAGAAACCCUGGUAGUCC